This 497-nucleotide ribosomal RNA is filed under the name uncultured bacterium. Its description in RNAcentral is "partial 16S ribosomal RNA". It matches the Rfam family "Bacterial small subunit ribosomal RNA", at positions 28 to 507 of the family's 1533-position model. The record is from RNAcentral.
GACGAACGCUGGCGGCGUGCCUAAUACAUGCAAGUAGAACGCUGAAGAGAGGAGCUUGCUCUUCUUGGAUGAGUUGCGAACGGGUGAGUAACGCGUAGGUAACCUGCCUCGUAGCGGGGGAUAACUAUUGGAAACGAUAGCUAAUACCGCAUAACAAUGGAUGACACAUGUCAUUUAUUUGAAAGGGGCAAUUGCUCCACUACAAGAUGGACCUGCGUUGUAUUAGCUAGUAGGUGAGGUAAUGGCUCACCUAGGCGACGAUACAUAGCCGACCUGAGAGGGUGAUCGGCCACACUGGGACUGGGACACGGCCCAGACUCCUACGGGAGGCAGCAGUAGGGAAUCUUCGGCAAUAGGGGCAACCCUGACCGAGCAACGCCGCGUGAGUGAAGAAGGUUUUCGGAUCGUAAAGCUCUGUUGUAAGUCAAGAACGGGUGUGAGAGUGGAAAGUUCACACUGUGACGGUAGCUUACCAGAAAGGGACGGCUAACUACGUG